GGAAAUCAUCAAGUCUAUGAAUUUCGUAUUUUGCUUUCAUUUCUUCUUCUUCUUCAUACGAGAGCCAAAAACAAAAAAGAAGAUUAAUUGUGGAGAAAUCGAAGAUGUCUUUAGCGUAAGUGGAGAAGAUUUAAGCCAAUUUUUGAAGAAGUCUAGUAGAUUCUAUAUUGUAAGCUACUAAAAUCUGCGAUGACGAGGUAAGAUUCUACAAAACUAAGUAAUGUUUAUUAAGUUUUUGUUUGGUUUUCUACCCAAAAGUUGUGUAUUUGUUUUGUUUUCGAUUCAUUGUACUAAGUUAGCUCAUUUUCAUGAUUUGAGAGUCAAAAUUCUUUUUGUUCACCAACUGUUUGAUGAAAUGUCUGAGAGAGUGCAAGUUUUAAACAUAACUUUUUUAUGCUUGAAGCUAUACUGAAGUAGUGUUCCAUGUCUACCAUGGUGG
Arabidopsis thaliana (thale cress) is the source of this 439-nucleotide long non-coding RNA. RefSeq annotates it as other RNA. The transcript has a single exon. The record is from RefSeq. NCBI's taxonomy places the organism in Eukaryota, Viridiplantae, Streptophyta, Magnoliopsida, Brassicales, Brassicaceae.